GGCGAAGAGGUCACACCCGUUCCCAUACCGAACACGGAAGUUAAGCUCUUCAGCGCCGAUGGUAGUUGGGGGUCUCCCCCUGUGAGAGUAGGACGUCGCUGGGC
This 104-nucleotide ribosomal RNA is filed under the name Psychrobacillus psychrodurans. The record is from RNAcentral. Lineage: Bacteria; Bacillati; Bacillota; Bacilli; Caryophanales; Bacillaceae.